GAAAUGCGAUAAGUAAUGUGAAUUGCAGAAUUCAGUGAAUCAUCGAAUCUUUGAACGCACAUUGCGCCCGCCAGUAUUCUGGCGGGCAUGCCUGUUCGAGCGUCAUUUCAACCCUCAAGCCCUCGGGUUUGGUGUUGGGGAUCGGCGAGCCUUUCUGGCAAGCCGGCCCCGAAAUCUAGUGGCGGUCUCGCUGCAGCCUCCAUUGCGUAGUAGUAAAACCCUCGCAACUGGAACGCGGCGCGGCCAAGCCGUUAAACCCCCAACUUCUGAAUGUUGACCUCUAAUAGACAAGACUACCCGCUGAAUUUAA
This 310-nucleotide unclassified non-coding RNA is filed under the name uncultured Fusarium. RNAcentral's name for it is "sequence contains ITS1". The stretch from base 1 to 105 matches the Rfam family "5.8S ribosomal RNA", at positions 50 to 154 of the family's 154-position model. Lineage: Eukaryota; Fungi; Ascomycota; Sordariomycetes; Hypocreales; Nectriaceae. The record is from RNAcentral.